RNAcentral lists this ribosomal RNA (464 nucleotides) under uncultured bacterium. RNAcentral's name for it is "partial 16S ribosomal RNA". It matches the Rfam family "Bacterial small subunit ribosomal RNA", at positions 339 to 795 of the family's 1533-position model. The record is from RNAcentral.
CUACGGGUCGCUGCAGUGGGGAAUAUUGCACAAUGGGCGCAAGCCUGAUGCAGCCAUGCCACGUGUAUGAAGAAGGCCUUCGGGUUGUAAAGUACUUUCAGCGGGGAGGAAGGGAGUAAAGUUAAUACCUUUGCUCAUUGACGUUACCCGCAGAAGAAGCACCGGCUAACUCCGUGCCAGCAGCCGCGGUAAUACGGAGGGUGCAAGCGUUAAUCGGAAUUACUGGGCGUAAAGCGCACGCAGGCGGUUUGUUAAGUCAGAUGUGAUAUCCCCGGGCUCAACCUGGGAACUGCAUCUGAUACUGGCAAGCUUGAGUCUCGUAGAGGGGGGUAGAAUUCCAGGUGUAGCGGUGAAAUGCGUAGAGAUCUGGAGGAAUACCGGUGGCGAAGGCGGCCCCCUGGACGAAGACUGACGCUCAGGUGCGAAAGCGUGGGGAGCAAACAGGAUUAGAUACCCGCGUAGUC